Molecule: ribosomal RNA, 275 nt
Filed under: Nicotiana attenuata
Lineage: Eukaryota; Viridiplantae; Streptophyta; Magnoliopsida; Solanales; Solanaceae
Description: rRNA LSU_rRNA_eukarya
Rfam family: Eukaryotic large subunit ribosomal RNA
Source: RNAcentral
AGGACUUUGAAAAGAGAGUCAAAGAGUGCUUCAAAUUGUCGGGAGGGAAGCGGAUGGGGGCCGGCGAUGUGCCUCGGUCGGAUGUGGAACGGUGUUGACUCGGGGCGUGGACCAGCGUGGAUUGGGGGGGCGGCCAAAGCUCGGGCUUUUGAUACGCCCGUGGAACACCGUCUCCUUGAUUGUGGUAGGUGCCGCACGCCUCUGGCGUGCUUUGGCAUCUACGCGCUCCGGACGCUGUCCUGUGGGCUCCACAUUCAACCCGUCUAGAAACACAA